RNAcentral lists this unclassified non-coding RNA (215 nucleotides) under plant metagenome. Its description in RNAcentral is "partial contains small subunit ribosomal RNA, internal transcribed spacer 1, and 5.8S ribosomal RNA". The record is from RNAcentral.
UCUCCGUUGGUGAACCAGCGGAGGGAUCAUUACCGAGUUUACAACUCCCAAACCCCUGUGAACAUACCUGUUUUGUUGCUUCGGCGGUGCCCUCGCUCUCGCGGCGAGGCCCGCCAGAGGACCCAAACAGACUCUUUGACUUUGAUCUAGGAUUAUACUUCUGAGUGAUACAAAAAAUAAAAUCAAAACUUUCAACAACGGAUCUCUUGGUUCUG